Molecule: long non-coding RNA, 1165 nt
Organism: Toxorhynchites rutilus septentrionalis
Lineage: Eukaryota; Metazoa; Arthropoda; Insecta; Diptera; Culicidae
Exons: 2
Source: RefSeq, a predicted model, not a curated record
UCAGGAGGUGUUUACGUAUCGAACGUGUUUAAUUUAUGAUACAGAGUUAUCUGAACGUUUGAGUUUAUUUGUGUGGUUUUGAUUUGUGCAGCCUUAUAAAAAACGAGAUAUAAAACUGAUAAUCUUACGCUAGAGGAAUAAGAUCCGGCUAUUCCAAAUUGCGGAUUGCCGGCUAUCAUACUAUCGGACAUGCAACACGUGUGUAUCCGCCCCAUUCGACGACUAGUAAGCUAUUGGCAUUGAAAAAAUCCCUGCUAUGCAACCGCCGUCCGGUAGCAGUAGAUGACUCUAUGUGUAAAAAUUUGCAGCAAGGUUCCGUCGCAAUUACGAGUUCAGCAACCGGAACCAACAUGUUACUGUGAAAAACUUCAUAAGUGCAGAUGAACAACGACACCAAGAUACAGCAAACGAGGAAGAGCCAUAAUGGGUGUCGGCAGGACAUACCUCUCGCCUGGGCACAAUCGAACUUUGUGGAUUCGAUGAAGAUACUUCAAUCAAGGCCUCGCCAAUCGAUUAGUCGCCGAAUGCUCAUAAAAAACAACGUUGAGAAUGCAACUGAUCCACCACAAAUGCAACAACAGCACAAAUCAACCCAACAGCCGCGUUAUCCAUCCCAACGUGAGCAUCAGUUCCAUACCCAAUCCAUAAUGCAGAACGCUUUACUCCGUAAAAAACUGCAGAAUCAACGCAAGGCGCUUUGUGAUCAGAACAGUCGAAUUGCUGCCGCUACCGCUGUAAUUAACAACGGUGAACCAAAUACAGUUGUGCAGCAAUUCGUACAAUCGAUUCGUCUAAACAUGCAACGUUCUUAGUCAGUUUUUUGGUUCUUAGUCAAACUGCUAACCGGCCGGUGACAAAUAUCCUAAUGGUAAAUAUUUCUCUGCAAAGCCGACUACAGGAGCAACUACUCUCCGUCACGCAAAAAUUGUGUCAACAGAAACGUGGUCCCAUGAGCGCUAGAACUUCUUAGGAAACAUCGAAUUCUACAGAUCAAUUCUUACAUGUUACGAGAGAACUGGAUUCUUACAAUGCAUUUACCAGUGCAGAAAUGGUUAUAUUUUGCAACAUUCAAAUUUAAUGAUGUUUUGUACUAUAUAUUACCGUUCCUCAUGAUUGUAUUUUUAUAUGUUUGUGGUUUUUCUUAAUAAAGUGCUUCGUUCCAUCA